GAUGAACGCUGGCGGCGUGCCUAAUACAUGCAAGUCGAGCGAACAGAUGAGGAGCUUGCUCCUCUGACGUUAGCGGCGGACGGGUGAGUAACGCGUGGAUAACCUACCUAUAAGACUGGGAUAACUUCGGGAAACCGGAGCUAAUACCGGAUAAUAUCUUGAACCGCAUGGUUCAAUAGUGAAAGACGGUUUUGCUGUCACUUAUAGAUGGAUCCGCGCCGCAUUAGCUAGUUGGUAAGGUAACGGCCUACCAAGGCAACGAUGCGUAGCCGACCGGAGAGGCGGAUCGGCCGCACUGGAGCUGAGACGCGGACCAGACUCCUACGAGAGGCAGCAGUAGGGAAUCUUCCGCAGUGGUCGAGAGCCUGACGGAGCAACCGCGCGUGAGUGAUGAAGGUCUUCGGAUCGUAAAACUCUGUUAUUAGGGAAGAACAAAUUUGUAAGUAACUAUGCACGCCGUGACGGUACCUAAUCAGAAAGCCACGGCUAACUACGUG
Molecule: ribosomal RNA, 497 nt
Filed under: uncultured bacterium
Lineage: Bacteria
Description: partial 16S ribosomal RNA
Rfam family: Bacterial small subunit ribosomal RNA
Source: RNAcentral